AUUGAACGCUGGCGGCAUGCUUUACACAUGCAAGUCGAACGGUAACAGGCCUUCGGGUGCUGACGAGUGGCGAACGGGUGAGUAAUGCAUCGGAACGUACCCAGAGGUGGGGGAUAACGCAGCGAAGGCUGUGCUAAUACCGCAUGUGAUCUGAGGAUGAAAGCGGGGGACCGAGCAGCAAUGUUUGGCCUCGCGCCUUUGGAGCGGCCGAUGUCGGAUUAGCUAGUUGGUGGGGUAAAGGCCUACCAAGGCGACGAUCCGUAGCUGGUCUGAGAGGGCGACCAGCCACACUGGGACUGAGACACGGCCCAGACUCCUACGGGAGGCAGCAGUGGGGAACUUUGGACAAUGGGCGCAAGCCUGAUCCAGCAAUGCCGCGUGCGGGAAGAAGGCCUUCGGGUUGUAAACCGCUUUUGGCAGGAACGAAACGGUGUCCGCUAAUACCGGGCGCUAAUGACGGUACCUGCAGAAUAAGCACCGGCUAACUACGUG
This 492-nucleotide ribosomal RNA is filed under the name uncultured bacterium. Its description in RNAcentral is "partial 16S ribosomal RNA". It matches the Rfam family "Bacterial small subunit ribosomal RNA", at positions 29 to 507 of the family's 1533-position model. The record is from RNAcentral.